This 75-nucleotide transfer RNA is filed under the name Candidatus Magasanikbacteria bacterium RIFOXYA1_FULL_40_8. Its description in RNAcentral is "tRNA-Arg". It matches the Rfam family "tRNA". From Rfam's summary of the family: Transfer RNA (tRNA) molecules are approximately 80 nucleotides in length. Their secondary structure includes four short double-helical elements and three loops (D, anti-codon, and T loops). The record is from RNAcentral. RNAcentral also lists the same sequence under 1 other name. Lineage: Bacteria; Candidatus Magasanikiibacteriota.
GCUCUCGUCGUCCAACGGAUAGGACGCCAGAUUGCGGAUCUGGCAAUACAGGUUCGAUUCCUGUCGAGAGCACCA